CUCCCCGUUCGGCCCGCGGGGACUGAGCGGAGGCCGUCCGCACGCAGGCCGGUCUGGUCCACUUGGGGGACGCACGGCCCGCGCCCCGCUCUGCGCUACGAAGAGGCCGGCCCAGGUGACCGCGCGCGUGUCCCCAGGCUCCGGCCGGGAGCCGCGGGCCGAAGGGAGGGCGGGGUGGCAGCGCCGGCGGCCCGGGUCCUCCUGGGAGUGGCGUGCGCGGCUCUCACCUCCACCUUCCCGGGUCCCCUCUGCCUCGCCGUGGAAGGCGCCCCGCGUGGCCUCGGGUCCGGUCGCCUGCCCCGCGCCGUCCCGCGUGUCCCUGCGGGACCCGGAUCCCGGGCGCCUUCCUCGCGGACUGCCAGGAGGGCCCAGAGACGUGUGUCGUAAAGCAUUCUAGAGAAUGACUGUCACCGGACAGACCGCCUCUGGCACGAAGCGAAGCCUUGCUGUCACUUGGGGAGGAAGGAGAAGGAGCCAGGCCGCUGGCAGGAGCGCAGGCAGCGGCAGAGGUAGCCCAGGUCCAGGGGAGCCCCUCCCAAACCCAGGUGUCGGGCUUCAGAAGAACCCAUCCUCCGUGGCCUGCAGGCUUCUGGCUCCUAGUAGGUGCCCGUUGCCUCCAGCCGCCACCAGUCUUCGGGCUCCUGCCUGCCCAGGGCUCCCCCCUUCCUAAAAUCCAGCCUCCUGGCUUCAACCUCCACAUCGCCGCUUCCCACACGCUGGGCCACUUGGAGGACCCAGCCCGGUGGUUCCCACCACGCUGCCGCCCCACGUGGGCCGUCCUAACUCAGUGUAGGGCAGACUUUACAGCAAUUAUUGAAGUGUCGAAAAGGAAAGAGAAAAUGGAGGGAGCAUACCAGCGUCGGGGUCUGGGAUGUUUUUGGUCUUCCAGAGAGGGGAUUCUGGGAGGUAGAGGCCUCGAAAGAGAGUCACCCAGGUGGGAUGACAAACGCAACAGCCAACGGAUCAGAUUGCAGGCUUCGGGGGUUCGCUUCCAAUUAGAUAGUUUAAGUGAAAAAAAAAUCAGGUCUAAUGUUGAUCACCAAGGAUGAUUGGCCUGCAAUGUUUCUAUUUCCACCAAAGGCCAGUUCCUGCUGUGUUUCAUUAGCAUUUGGGGCUCGUCCCCUGGCCCUCCCUCUCUCUCCCUCCACCCCCCUUGGGCCUGAUCUCUGCCAGGGGCAGAAAAGAAAACAGCGAAUUAUUACAAAAACAUCCCCAGUUUGGAGCAGGAGCGUAUGCUCCGGAUACAGUCGAUUUUGACAUCAAUUAAGUAUAUAAGCAGACAAGGCCACGUGGCUUUGGAGAGGCUCCCGCCGCCCAGGGCGCGUCUCCACCGCGGCUGUCUCCUCUUCGCCUCUUUCCCGCGAGCUGCUGAUUCUGAAGACAGCCUCUUCCUCCCGCGUAUUUCCCCCCGCAAUUACAACCCUCCGCUGGAUUCCAAAUUCUCCAUCCUGCUGCCUGCUACUAAUAAAAACCGUCUACCUUGCACUAUUAAGCAGUCGAAUCGCAGUGCCUGCCGCUUUUAUUGGUAGUGACUGUAGCAAAUUAACAUGCCUACGCAGAGACAUUAAAACUUACGCUCGCUCCGCAUUGUUCCUGGAAUACAUAAACUUCGUUUCACGUUAAAGCUCCCGGAUGUUUUUUUUUUUUUUAAGUCACUUUCCUUGUCUUGGAUUAAAGUUGGCUGGCCCUUCUUUUAAAACAAGUCAGUGGGAAAAACAGGCUGCAAGCGAGGAGGCCCGACGCGGUGGCUCGGCACGCGGCCGCCCGCGAGGGUGGCGAACUCCGUCCCCGGUGACCGCGGAGGGCGCAGGCCGCGCGGGGAGCGAGCCGCUGGCCCCGGGCCCCACUGGCCGCCCGUGCAGCAGGGCGGGGACCCGGGCGCUUUGGUGGCGGGCGAGGGUUGUCCGGGCGCCCGGCCGCGGCUGUUUUCGUGGCGUCCGAGCCGGAGCGGCGGACAGAGGCGAGGCCCGCGCGGCAGCCCCGGCCAGCUGCGGUGACAGCGCGAUGGCUCGUAACCGUCACGUAGGCGGCGCGCGGUUUCGGGCUCGGUUUCCCUCUCCUCCCCUCCGCGCGCUGAUGAAAAGAAGUUAACACCGUCGCAUUUCUGUGUCUUGUCCCCACAGCCGCCGGUGCCUUUAGAGCGAGUCGGCGUGGACACGCACGUUUCAAGGAGCCGGGGCGUCCUGCGAGGCCGAGCGCGGAGAAAGGCCUGGAGCCGGGCUUGCGCCCGAGGGUCUCUCGGAAGGAGCUGGCGGCGCCGGCCGGGCCGCCUUGCAGACUCGGUCGGCCCUGGGCUCUCGGGCGGGGCGCGGGGAGGCCGGGGAGCGGCGCGGGCCCGGGAGUCGUGCGCGCGGGCGGCGAGGGGGCGCUGUGGCCCGCGGCUGCGGCCUGGUCCCUGCAGCGGUGGCCCCGGCGCAGUCCCCGGCCACUGAACGGCGGUGGGCGCUCUCGCCCCGGCCCGGCCUACCUCUGCCCGCGUCGCUUUAACUUGGGGAAGAAGGAAAACUAGGCCGGGGCGUUUCGAUGAACCGAAGCCGCGCACGAACUUGUUUCACUCUGUCUCACUGCCGGGUAAUGGGCGCAGUUUGUAGGGUUGGUGGCAACACUUACAAAAUGGAACGUGUAAUGGGGGGGGGGUCGAUUAAGGUGAAGCGUACACAUUUGCCCCCAGGGCUGUGACUUUCGCCACAUCGGCGUGCGCGCGUCAGGGCACCUGCCCAGCGUGUUCCGAAUCCCGGGUCGCUGCUGGCCCACGACUUCCUGGGGCCCUGCAGCAAACGCAGCCAGAAGGAGUCGGGGGUCACGAAGUUCGGGUCUGCAACUUCCUUUGUUUCCGUCUCCCUCUGUUUCUCGCAAAGCAGCGCUGGCCGCCGUGAACUGCGCGAAGAGCAAGUCCCAACGAGACGCGAAUCUCUCUCCGGCGCGGGUACCUCCGGGCUCGUCUGACGGAGCUGCAGAUGCGGCGCUCUUCGGAGGUUCUCAAACACGGUUCCGGUGAGACCUGUUCCCGCAGAGCGAGCGCGCGGGGAACCCUGGCAGGCGGGGGUGGGGUGGGGAGUCCCCUCGCCCCUGGCCUGGAGCCGCCUGCGGCCUCGCGGGAGGAGACCCGAGGGCGCGGCCCCCAGAGGCCGGGGGCAGCCCGUGGCGUCGGGACCCCAGCACCGAGGGCACCUCUCUGGCUCCCCAGGCACCGGUGUUUGGUUACCGGUCGCUGACUCGAGCGUAGCGACGUCAGACCCCGGUCCCUUCGCGCGGGCAGCCGAGUGUGCGUCCUCCCCGCGGCGCCCGCCUCCGACGCGUCCCCCCUUCCGCGCGUCCGGCGGCCUCUGUCCCUGCCCGCCCCCCGCCUCCCCCCGUCCGCGUCCUCCCAGCUCCUCUGCCGCCGCUUCCCCCGCCUCCGGCGCGCAGCCCCCGGGCCCGAAUUCCAUUCCCGGAGACCCGCUUCGGGAGCGGCCCGCGUGGGUCAGCGAUCCGCGCGGGAGGCAGGUGGGCGAGCCCC
RNA transcript from Panthera uncia (snow leopard), 3499 nucleotides. It is a transcript of the gene named translation initiation factor IF-2-like, with no coding region annotated. The transcript is spliced from 3 exons. Lineage: Eukaryota; Metazoa; Chordata; Mammalia; Carnivora; Felidae. The record is from RefSeq and is a predicted model, not a curated record.